This 346-nucleotide ribosomal RNA is filed under the name uncultured bacterium. RNAcentral's name for it is "partial 16S ribosomal RNA". It matches the Rfam family "Bacterial small subunit ribosomal RNA", at positions 338 to 701 of the family's 1533-position model. The record is from RNAcentral.
CCUACGGGUGGCAGCAGUGGGGAAUAUUGCACAAUGGGGGAAACCCUGAUGCAGCGACGCCGCGUGAGUGAAGAAGGAAUUCGUUAUGUAAAGCUCUAGCAGCAGGGAAGAAAAUGACGGUACCUGAGUAAGAAGCCCCGGCUAACUACGUGCCAGCAGCCGCGGUAAUACGUAGGGGGCAAGCGUUAUCCGGAUUUACUGGGUGUAAAGGGAGCGUAGACGGCCGUGCAAGUCUGGAGUGAAAGGCGGGGGCUCAACCCCCGGACUGCUCUGGAAACUGUACGGCUGGAGUGCAGGAGAGGUAAGUGGACUUCCUCGUGUAGCGGUGACCUGCGUCGAUAUUAGG